RNAcentral lists this ribosomal RNA (564 nucleotides) under uncultured beta proteobacterium. RNAcentral's name for it is "bacterial SSU rRNA". It matches the Rfam family "Bacterial small subunit ribosomal RNA", at positions 97 to 655 of the family's 1533-position model. The record is from RNAcentral. Lineage: Bacteria; Pseudomonadati; Pseudomonadota; Betaproteobacteria.
GGCGAACGGGUGAGUAAUGCAUCGGAACGUAUCCCGUAGUGGGGGACAACGCCGGGAAACCGGCGCUAAUACCGCAUAUGCUCUACGGAGGAAAGUGGGGGACCCGCAAGGGCCUCACGCUAUGGGAGCGGCCGAUGUCCGAUUAGCUAGUUGGUGGGGUAACGGCUUACCAAGGCGACGAUCGGUAGCUGGUCUGAGAGGAUGAUCAGCCACACUGGGACUGAGACACGGCCCAGACUCCUACGGGAGGCAGCAGUGGGGAAUUUUGGACAAUGGGGGCAACCCUGAUCCAGCCAUGCCGCGUGCGGGAAGAAGGCCUUCGGGUUGUAAACCGCUUUUGGUCGGGACGAAAGGGCACCCUCGAAUACAGGGUGUUGUUGACGGUACCGGCAGAAUAAGCACCGGCUAACUACGUGCCAGCAGCCGCGGUAAUACGUAGGGUGCGAGCGUUAAUCGGAAUUACUGGGCGUAAAGCGUGCGCAGGCGGUUUGCCAAGUCCGCUGUGAAAGCCCCGGGCUCAACCUGGGAACGGCAGUGGAAACUGGCAGGCUGGAGUGUGGCAGA